RNAcentral lists this ribosomal RNA (786 nucleotides) under uncultured Psychrobacter sp. RNAcentral describes it as "partial 16S ribosomal RNA". It matches the Rfam family "Bacterial small subunit ribosomal RNA", at positions 1 to 756 of the family's 1533-position model. The record is from RNAcentral. Lineage: Bacteria; Pseudomonadati; Pseudomonadota; Gammaproteobacteria; Moraxellales; Moraxellaceae.
CGAUGGGCCGACGUCGCAUGCUCCCGGCCGCCAUGGUUAGAGUUUGAUCCUGGCUCAGAUUGAACGCUGGCGGCAGGCUUAACACAUGCAAGUCGAGCGGAAACGAUGAUAGCUUGCUAUCAGGCGUCGGGCGGCGGACGGGUGAGUAAUACUUAGGAAUCUACCUAGUAGUGGGGGAUAGCUCGGGGAAACUCGAAUUAAUACCGCAUACGACCUACGGGAGAAAGGGGGCAACUUGUUGCUCUCGCUAUUAGAUGAGCCUAAGUCGGAUUAGCUAGAUGGUGGGGUAAAGGCCUACCAUGGCGACGAUCUGUAGCUGGUCUGAGAGGAUGAUCAGCCACACCGGGACUGAGACACGGCCCGGACUCCUACGGGAGGCAGCAGUGGGGAAUAUUGGACAAUGGGGGCAACCUGAUCCAGCCAUGCCGCGUGUGUGAAGAAGGCCUUUUGGUUGUAAAGCACUUUAAGCAGUGAAGAAGACUCCAUGGUUAAUACCCAUGGACGAUGACAUUAGCUGCAGAAUAAGCACCGGCUAACUCUGUGCCAGCAGCCGCGGUAAUACAGAGGGUGCAAGCGUUAAUCGGAAUUACUGGGCGUAAAGCGAGCGUAGGUGGCUUGAUAAGUCAGAUGUGAAAUCCCCGGGGCUUACCUGGGAACUGCAUCUGAUACUGUUAAGCUAGAAUAGGUGAGAGGAGGUAGAAUUCCAGGUGUAGCGGUGGAUGCUUAAGAUCUGGAGGAUUACGGUGGCAAAAGCACCUUCUGGCAUCAUAUUGACACUGAGGUCGA